GCUCCCAAAGUAUUCUUAUGCUACUAUACAUUAGCUCCCGAAGUAUUCUAAUGCUACUAUACAUUAGCUCCCGAGGUAUUCUAAUGAUAGUAGAUGAGACAAUGGUAUAGUAUCUAAAAUGGAUCAAUUAAUUAGCGGACUGUGUCUCACGCAUAUGCCUUUCAUUUCCAUUUCAUAAAAAAGAAAGAAAUAAAGAAAUAAGGAACACGUUGAUCAUAUCAAAGUCAGAAGAUACUAAUAAUUAUAGUUCGUCAUGGGUAGGGACACUAUUGCCAAUAG
Molecule: long non-coding RNA, 279 nt
Filed under: Amborella trichopoda
Lineage: Eukaryota; Viridiplantae; Streptophyta; Magnoliopsida; Amborellales; Amborellaceae
Description: long non-coding RNA (ATRI_LNC002502)
Source: RNAcentral